CAGAUACCUGAAUCAAGGCUGGCAGCUUCCUGACACUGAUGGUUUCAAGCAGGAGCCUAAAGAGAUGUCUUUCUAUUGUCUGUUGGCCAUUUCAGAACUUGGGCAGUGAAAUGGUCAAUUCAUUAGAAAGACCCCCCG
This is a small nucleolar RNA of Cavia aperea (Brazilian guinea pig), 138 nucleotides long. The record is from Ensembl. Lineage: Eukaryota; Metazoa; Chordata; Mammalia; Rodentia; Caviidae.